AAUAGAUACCCUGGUAGUCCACGCCGUAAACGGUGGGUACUAGGUGUGGGUUUCCUUCCUUGGGAUCCGUGCCGUAGCUAACGCAUUAAGUACCCCGCCUGGGGAGUACGGCCGCAAGGCUAAAACUCAAAGGAAUUGACGGGGGGCCCGGCACAAGCGGCGGAGCAUGUGGAUUAAUUCGAUGCAACGCGAAGAACCUUACCUGGGUUUGGCAUGCACAGGACGCUGGUAGAGAUAUCAGUUCCCUUGUGGUCUGUGUGCAGGUGGUGCAUGGCUGUCGUCAGCUCGUGUCGUGAGAUGUUGGGUUAAGUCCCGCAACGAGCGCAACCCUUGUCUCAUGUUGCCAGCACGUGAUGGUGGGGACUCGUGAGAGACUGCCGGGGUCAACUCGGAGGAAGGUGGGGAUGACGUCAAGUCAUCAUGCCCCUUAUGUCCAGGGCUUCACACAUGCUACAAUGGCCGGUACAAAGGGCUGCGAUGCCGUGAGGUUAAGCGAAUCCUUUAAAGCCGGUCUCAGUUCGGAUCGGGGU
RNAcentral lists this ribosomal RNA (530 nucleotides) under uncultured bacterium. Its description in RNAcentral is "bacterial SSU rRNA". It matches the Rfam family "Bacterial small subunit ribosomal RNA", at positions 777 to 1304 of the family's 1533-position model. The record is from RNAcentral.